RNAcentral lists this ribosomal RNA (477 nucleotides) under uncultured bacterium. RNAcentral describes it as "bacterial SSU rRNA". It matches the Rfam family "Bacterial small subunit ribosomal RNA", at positions 28 to 507 of the family's 1533-position model. The record is from RNAcentral.
GACGAACGCUGGCGGCGUGCCUAACACAUGCAAGUCGAACGGAGAGGACAUGAAGUAUUUCGGUACGGAAUGCUCUCUUAGUGGCGAACGGGUGAGUAACACGUGGGCAACCUGCCCCAGACUGGGGGAUAACAUUGUGAAAACAGUGCUAAUACCGCAUGACAGGGUUCCGGGCAUCCGGGACCCUUGAAAGGAGAAAUCCAGUCAGGGAUGGGCCCGCGUCCAAUUAGCUAGUUGGCGGGGUAACGGCCCACCAAGGCGACGAUUGGUAGCCGAACUGAGAGGUUGAUCGGCCACAUUGGGACUGAGACACGGCCCAGACUCCUACGGGAGGCAGCAGUGGGGAAUAUUGGGCAAUGGGCGAAAGCCUGACCCAGCGACGCCGCGUGAAGGAUGAAGGUCUUCGGAUUGUAAACUUCUUUGAUCAGGGAAGAAAGAAAUGACGGUACCUGAAAACAAGCCACGGCUAACUACGUG